GUGUGCAUCGUGGAGGGGGAAAUCCCAUCGGAUCUCCCAAGACAAAGCAGACACGAAGGGGCUAGACGAGGAGUUGAGGAGUGUAAAUUGGUGUUUUUUUUUAGAAAACGGAGAAGUGGGUGUUGCCGUGAUUCCAUGAGAAGGGGUUUACGAUGGUGCGGGGGGUUUCUACCGACGCCCAAGGCCGCAACCGCAACAGACCGAGUAGGACAAACGGGAGCUGAGCGGGAGACUGGUUGCGAAGCUUACGCUCCCCAACGCCAGCAGGAGCAGCAGCAGCAGCUAUGGACCCGGCCCUUCCUCCCCCACUAUGCCCUGCUGCAGCAGCGUGGCCACGCACGGAGGUGGAUUAUAAGUGGCGCCGCGGACCGCUGCAGAAGACACUUGCGUCUCCAACGAUGGUCUUUCAUGGUUACGUGAAACUAGCCUUGGUUUGGUUUGAGGUUUCACAGAAUGCAGGCUCGCGACGCUGCAACUGUUGUAAGCUCGCUGCCCCUUUGAGUCGGUCCGUUAGAUGCCUUCAGUCACCGGUUGCGAAACUGCCUCGACUUGUCAUGAAGUUUAGCUUUGCGGGGCCGUCGCUAGCGAAUUCUGUGGGGUGCAUCACCGUAAUUGUCGAUACAAUGUACGCGUUGAGAGAGCUUGGCUUCCGCAAAUCUGCCCCUGCGUUUUUUUCCAUGCGUUUGUGUGUUCCUUCAUGGUGCAUUCUGCUUGCAACUUUCUUCUCAAUCGAACUCGAUGACUGCGCGUUCGUUGCAACCCUACAGUUUGAAAGUUGAGAAGGGAGUCAGAUGAUGAAUGUCCGAGAAACGACACUGUAGUCUUUCCUGCAGCUGCCGUCCAAUUUUGGGCGACAUCCGGAUACUAGGAAUGUCAUGAAAUCCACAGACUUGAAGCGAUUGCAUUUACAGGAUUUCAGAAAGUAGUGAGAGACUCGUUGUACACUUUCCCCUCUUCCAUUUCGUUACAAUGAAAUCACCUCAGUCGAGCCAGUGCAGGUUUUGCUUGCUAAGAUUCGGACUGUGAUAGGUUUUGUAGUGUGCUCUCCUUGUUUUGUAGUGUGAUAGGUUUAUGGUUUGUUUUCGGAUCCAACUGCGGACGACGUCUAAUGUGAAGCAUAUGCUGUUUGAAACUUAUGGCGACAGUAUGCAAUGAAUGUAAGAGAGAAGGACAGGACAUUUCUUGCAAGAUUGAGCUCGAUUGCAGCAAUCGGGGGCAAUCUUGUGCUCCCGCAGUCCAAAAUCGUGCUUUGGUUCCUGUAUCGAUCUUCUUGUCAUUUAGGGAGGGGCGGGGGAGGAUCCGAGUCGGAGGAUCCGUAUUGAUUCGCAAUGCGCCUUCAAUGUGCUUCACCGAUUGUGUGACCUUGUCCCCGCUUUACUCACCCAGAGAAAUUCAUUUUACUGCCAGCUGCACAAGCGUCGUCCCCCCGCACCUCGGGUUUCUAGUGAGCUUUUCCCGGUGACGUACCAUACAUCGAACCUGCUCGAUUGAUCCUGCAACCCGAUUGUUCUUCCCUUCAAUCGCUCUGGGGAUACAUGUCGCAAUGAGAGAGGUGUGUCAUGCAGAGCUGCUGGGGCGGUUCUGACGGUUCAAAUGGGAGUGUGAGCAAAUGCAUGCCCGAUGCGAUUGACGGUCGAUGGGUUUCGUACAUCUAAUCUAAUUUGUGGGUUGGAGAGGAAUUGUCACGAAACGAAAAGAUAUCAUUCAAGAUGUCAGUCUCUGCGAAGAGGUUGAGAGUUAUGGUUGUGAAUGUUCUUGGCGUGACGCCCGUGGCUAGGCAGUUCGAUGGGAACUGAGCGACAGAUUAUCUCAUCCUCCAAUGCGGCAACUUCCUCAAGCCGUUAUUGGAUUCCAAUUUGCCGAUACGUUGUUGCUAGCACAAGCCAAUUAAGUACGAUUAGAAGCUUUCUAGAUAUUUCGAUUCUGGUGGUCAAUGUAUGAACAAGAUUGCCUGAUGCUCAGGUUUUUCGCAGCGCACUUCAAGCAGACAAACCCUGAAUAAUCCAGCUUAAACCCUUUUUUUUUGCAGGUUGAUGUAUACAUUGCUGUUAGCUCGAAGUUUAGCGACCUCAACAACUUUAAAUAUGGUUUAGGCAAUGUGCUCUCACGUCCACAUUGGGGACCGAACUUGUGCCUCGAAGAACCACAUUCUAGGCGCUUAAUCAAACAUACGAAGCAUGCAGUUGCCUAUCUGCACAGGAGGUUUAGUUCAGCAUGGGGAGAUAUCGGAUCCGCCUGGCUCCUUGUAUGCCAACUGAGAAGCUUGUUGAACAUUUUGCCAGGAUUCAUAGCUGGCACUCAGGGAGUCAAGCAGGCCAUUGGUCUUGCCAUGACUUUCACCGCUCAAGUGCAACAGUAAGUUUUGGGAUUGAUUCACUCACAAGUUCCUUUUGAUCAUAAGUUUGAGAAUUGGGGUCGAACUGAGGACUUCCAUCUAAGGCAUAUGUCAUCAACAUGUAAAUGGUUUCCAGCUGAAAGACGUCCGCAAGGCAACCAUAACCCUGAAUGUAGGACGAGCAGCACAGAAACUGGCGAUGUUGGAUCCGCCUGGCUCCCUGCAUGCCGCCUGUGAAUGCUGUGAAGAGACUUACUAGAAUUCAUAGCUGGCGUGGAGGGAGCCAAGCAGACUCUGAAUCUUGCCAUAGUCUGUAAUGCCCAAUUCUAAGCUCUUGCUAAGCGUUUCCAUGCCUAAUCGAUCUGGGCUUUGCACCGACGUCGAAGUGGGAUCUAACUGAGGUAACUACCAUCUCCCUUAACUUACAAAUUCGGGGCCAGGUAAGGUUAUUGUAGAGGAAUCAGAUAACUCCAGGUGAAAGUUUAUAUCUACGGAUCAAGUUUAUACAUAUACAUGAAUUCACGAAGAGAAGAAGCACACAAAAUGGGAAAUAUUAGGUCCCCCGUGGCUCUCUGCAUGUGACCUUCAAAAAUCGCCAAUUAUUUCCCAGGAUGGUGGGCUGGGUGUCAGACAGGCUAUAUGAUAGGGCAAAUCAUAUGUAGGUCAAGAUUUUGGGUGCUGAGGUUAUUCAGUAGAGGAUUAAUUAUCUUCUACUUUAGGUAGUACUUUUCUUGCAAGUUAGUUCGGUGCAGAGAUUGCUGAGGCACUUUCUGUUCUGAAAUUCAUAACCUCGUUGCAGACGGGUAUAAUGACUGUUUGUGGGGAGAAGUACUGUUCGAUGCACGGCCAGUUGCAAAAAUCAUCAACUACGCAAGCAUAAUCAAUGCAGCUGGAAGGCGUUAGCACGGAAUAUGGGAUACUGGAUCCGCCUGGCUCCCUGUAUGCCACCUGCGAAGCAUGCUAAAGGUUUUUGCCAGGAUUUGCAGCUGGCGUUCAGGGAGUCAAGCAGGCCUCAAGUCUUCCCGUAACCAGCGCCGUCCUGUGGCAACCUUAAGUUCUGAUUCUCUCAAUUCUCUUUCAGGAGUUGAUCGUAUGCUUGAGCAUCGACGUCGAGCUGAGGCCUCAUUGUCCAAGGGUAGAAAACGUUCUGAUGAAAUACGACUGCAGAGCAACCUCGAUUAAGAAUAUUGGAAAAGGGGUACAAAAUUAUGGGCAAAUCUUGAAUCUGCCUGGCUCCCUACAUGCCACCUGUGAAGUUUGCCAAGACUUCUGCCAGGGGUCAUUGCUGGCGUUCAGGAAUCUAAACUCUACAUUAACUCUUGCCAAUUCUACGCGUUGCGCAAGGUUCAAGAAUUGUAAUCCAUUGUACUGAAGUACUCCUCAAUGCAAUAUGAACCUCAAUUCAAAGCCUGGAAUAAUAAAUCAUGUAUGGAUAACUUGACUUCUCA
This is a non-coding RNA of Physcomitrium patens, 3783 nucleotides long. Lineage: Eukaryota; Viridiplantae; Streptophyta; Bryopsida; Funariales; Funariaceae. The record is from RefSeq and is a predicted model, not a curated record.